Molecule: ribosomal RNA, 147 nt
Filed under: Frankia sp. AgB1.7
Lineage: Bacteria; Bacillati; Actinomycetota; Actinomycetes; Frankiales; Frankiaceae
Description: partial 23S ribosomal RNA
Source: RNAcentral
GGCCGACAGGCGUAGUCGAUGGAUAACGGGUUGAUAUUCCCGUACCGGCGCUGGUGCGCCAAUACCGAAUCCUUUCAUGCUAACCACCUGCUCUGAUCGUCCUUCGGGAUGCGUGGGGUGGCUGGGAUCCUGGUUGGUAGUAGGCAA